AGGGAAUCUUCCGCAAUGGACGAAAGUCUGACGGAGCAACGCCGCGUGAGUGAAGAAGGUCUUCGGAUCGUAAAACUCUGUUGUUAGGGAAGAACAAGUAUCGUUCGAAUAGGGCGGUACCUUGACGGUACCUAACCAGAAAGCCACGGCUAACUACGUGCCAGCAGCCGCGGUAAUACGUAGGUGGCAAGCGUUGUCCGGAAUUAUUGGGCGUAAAGCGCGCGCAGGCGGUUUCUUAAGUCUGAUGUGAAAGCCCCCGGCUCAACCGGGGAGGGUCAUUGGAAACUGGGGAACUUGAGUGCAGAAGAGGAGAGUGGAAUUCCACGUGUAGCGGUGAAAUGCGUAGAGAUGUGGAGGAACACCAGUGGCGAAGGCGGCUCUCUGGUCUGUAACUGACGCUGAGGCGCGAAAGCGUGGGGAGCAAAC
This 426-nucleotide ribosomal RNA is filed under the name uncultured bacterium. Its description in RNAcentral is "bacterial SSU rRNA". It matches the Rfam family "Bacterial small subunit ribosomal RNA", at positions 356 to 773 of the family's 1533-position model. The record is from RNAcentral.